Daktulosphaira vitifoliae (grape phylloxera) is the source of this 738-nucleotide long non-coding RNA. RefSeq lists it as uncharacterized. Lineage: Eukaryota; Metazoa; Arthropoda; Insecta; Hemiptera; Phylloxeridae. The transcript is spliced from 2 exons. The record is from RefSeq and is a predicted model, not a curated record.
ACUGAUCAGUCAGUAAUACCUAGUUUGAGUUAGCAGUCAAUUGGGAUUUAUUACAAUAGUUCUAAAAAUAGAUCGAAUCAGGGAAUUUUAUUUGGAUAAAUGGAUAAUGAAUGCUCCUAACGCAAUUGAAUAUUAUAACACAAUUUGUGAUCGUCACGUAUCACGUAUAAACCAUUGGCCGUUAUUAUCGCUUAUCUUACUUAAGACACAUUAGCAUUCUUUGAAUAUAGAAGAAACUUUUUACUUUUCAAGAGUCUUCACUUCAAUUCACUCACUAUCAGACAACCAUAACGGAACAAUAUCCGACGUUAGCCGUUUUCUGAUCUGUAUUUCUUAACGGCAAUAUUGCCUAUUUGCGUUUGAUUACUCUUCAACACUUUCGAAGACAACAUGGGCAAUCCCCGUAAGUAUUCAUUUUGAUACAUUUUAUUAUUUUAGUGAUCAUACAUACAUUCCUCCCACCUUUUGUUUUUGUUGAUGGCCUCCGUAACCGCUAUUAAAAGUUUACCUCCACCACCACUACUUUGCUUUUGUUGGUGUCGUCCAUGUUUGUUAGACCUUUCUUAGUAAAUAGCUGUUGGAUAAACCGUAUCCUGAAUUUAUUCCAUCGAACAAUACCGACCGGAUCGAAUGCAAGUUAGCGGCGUGCGCCCCGACGACUUUUUUUAAACGCGCUUAGUGUAGUCUUUAUUUUUUUGUCUUUUUAUGGGCAUUUAACCGUUAAACCAUCAGUCAUCG